AAAUACCUGCAGAGAUGCCCAAAAAAUAACAAACAUUGCCAAUGUUUUUGACAGAGAAUUUCUCAUGAAGAGUAUUAAAAACAGAAGUAACAAGCAAAGGAUGCAUACUAGUUAUAUGAAUUUGGCAAUUUUGCCAAAUUUGACAGAUAAGGUGAAAUUAUUGGAUAAUUUAUACAUAGUUCAAGAGAUUGCUAUUCGAAGAAAAACAUGAUUCAUAGAUACAUGAGUUUACCCAGUAAACACCAAGCAUAUAGUUGAUUGCAGAUUUAGAUGAAAAAACAUAAUUAAUAUCCACGAUUAUAAGUUUGGUUGAGGCAAUCAUAUAAACACAAAGUGCAGCACUCACCUUUGUGUUAAAAUCAAGGCGCACUGUCAAUACAUGAAAGUUUACAGCAAGAACUGAGCUACAAUCUCACUUAUCUACAUGGGAAACUUGGAAUGACACAGCACUACAGCCACUACUAUGUCAAGGAAUCAACCACAACAGCUGCUGCGGCACCAAAAUUGGAAAAAAAAAAACAAGUUACAGGUGAGAAAGGUGUCAUGCUUUAUACCUAAACAGAUUUAUACAACAGGGACAAAAAGGUGUGCUCUACAUAGUGGUAGAGCAAGCACAAAUCAAGUGGAUGAUUCUUGUCAUCUCCGGUGUCAUUUUGGCUGCCGCUUCUACCUUGUAUAUAAAGGUCUUGCUAUUGGAUUCUCUUGUACAGUGCCUUUGAAGUGAGAUCAGAGGACAUAUAUAUGCUUCAGUUAUUGCUCGGGGUGAUGAUGGCGCGCCCUGCUUACUUACUAUAUACGGAUCAAAAAUAAAUCUGUCCUUUCUGAGAAGUGGUGAAGCUCAUUCAGCACUGAUCGCAGUUCCGGGGGAAACUUGUACUUCCUUCACCUGGACAUCAUAUGAUGAUAGGACCUCUUUCUGCAAACAUACAUGUAAACCGCUUCAGUAACCAGACAUUUCAGGAAUGCAAGAGAGCUUUAUAAUUUAGGCAUAUAAUGCUUUAUGUUUAAAUAAUAGGCUGGUUAAUGCCGGAACUCCAAACUAGUGCAAUGUACCUGGAAGAAGGGUAAAGGAAUAGCAUGCUUCUACUAACAAUACUGGCUUGGAAUGCAACAACAAUCUAACGUUAUGUGGAACCAUAGGAAAAUUAGAUCAUUGAUGUGAAGACACAACAAUGAGACGAGAGCAAAGGGAAACGGAUGCAGAUCCAUGGCAUCGAAAAAUUAGAGCCACAGCAUUAAAAGGUCAUUGUUUGGUAAAGGAGUCAGAAACUAGUGAUUUUAUGAUUUUGUGUAUAAAAUAGAACUUUCUCAUUGGUGUUAUUCUGUCCCAUGAAGCCAAGGUGAAAUCCGAUGUUUGAUCAAGUCUUGUGUAUCAAGUUAGACAUUCCNAGUAAGCGUUUGCAGGCAGUUCAAUGUGUAGCCGUUGGAGCAUGUAAGAACUGACAAGCUUGUUGACAUAGAAGUAAUAUCGGGCCCAGUGCGUGUGAGGUAUUGCAAGGCCCUUACUGUGCUGCGGUACAGUGUGGGAUCAUCAGAAGGAACACCCAUAUCUCGAGACAACUUUGUAGCUGGUGUCAUAGGAGUGGAGCAACCUUUGCAAUCAAGUAUCUUGGUUUUGGAAAGUAACUCAUGGAUAUAUUUGUGUUGGCCCAAGAGAAAAGUACCUGCAGAGUGAGUGACCUCGAUAACCCAAAAAAUAACUCACAUUGCCCAUGUUUUUGACACAUAAUUUCUCAUGAAGAGUAUUAACAACAGAAGUAACAAGCAAAGGAUGUAUACUAGUUAUAUGAAUUUGUCAAUUUUGCCAAAUUUGACAGAUAAGGUGAAAUUAUUGGAUAAUUUAUACAUAGUUCAAGAGAUUGCUAUUCGAAGAAAAACAGAUUCAUAGAUACAUGAGUUUACCCAGUAAACACAAGCAUAUAGUUGAUUGCAGAUUUAGAUAAAAAACAUAAUUAAUAUCCACGAUUAUAGUUUGGUUGAGGCAAUCAUAUAAACACAAAGUGCAGCACUCACCUUUGUGUUAAAAUCAAGGCGCACUGUCAAUACAUGAAAGUUUACAGCAAGAACUGAGCUACAAUCUCACUUAUCUACAUGGGAAACUUGGAAUGACACAGCACUACAGCCACUACUAUGUCAAGGAAUCAACCACAACAGCUGCUGCGGCACCAAAAUUGGAAAAAAAAAAACAAGUUACAGGUGAGAAAGGUGUCAUGCUUUAUACCUAAACAGAUUUAUACAACAGGGACAAAAAGGUGUGCUCUACAUAGUGGUAGAGCAAGCACAAAUCAAGUGGAUGAUUCUUGUCAUCUCCGGUGUCAUUUUGGCUGCCGCUUCUACCUUGUAUAUAAAGGUCUUGCUAUUGGAUUCUCUUGUACAGUGCCUUUGAAGUGAGAAUCAGAGGACAUAUAUAUGCUUCAGUUAUUGCUCGGGGUGAUGAUGGCGCGCCCUGCUUACUUACUAUAUACGGAUCAAAAAUAAAUCUGUCCUUUCU
Molecule: long non-coding RNA, 2491 nt
Filed under: Salvia miltiorrhiza (redroot sage)
Lineage: Eukaryota; Viridiplantae; Streptophyta; Magnoliopsida; Lamiales; Lamiaceae
Description: long non-coding RNA (SMIL_LNC005704)
Source: RNAcentral